AUUGAACGCUGGCGGCAGGCCUAACACAUGCAAGUCGAGCGGAUGAAGGCAGCUUGUUCCGGGAUUCAGCGGCGGACGGGGGAGUAAUGCAUAGGAAUAUGCUUGGUAGUGGGGGAUAACGUCCGGAAACGAGCGCUGAUACUGCAUACGUCAUGAGGGAGAAAGAGGGGGAUCUUCGGACCCCACGCUAGCAGAUGAGACUAGGUCGGAUUAGCUAGUUGGUGGGGUAAAGGCCUACUAAGGCGACGAUCGGUAACUGGUCUGAGAGGAUGGUCGGUCACAUUGGAGCGGGAACAGGCUCCAUACUCCUGCGAGAGGCAGCAGUGGGGAAUAUUGGACAAUGGGCGAAAGCAUUAUACAGCCAUCGCACGUCUGUGAAGACGAUCCUCCGAUUGUAAAGAACUCUAAGUUGGGGGAAACGGCAGUAAGGUAUUACCAUGCUGUUUUGACGUUACCAGCAGAAUAAGCACCGGCUAACUUCGUG
Molecule: ribosomal RNA, 484 nt
Filed under: uncultured bacterium
Lineage: Bacteria
Description: partial 16S ribosomal RNA
Rfam family: Bacterial small subunit ribosomal RNA
Source: RNAcentral